This 492-nucleotide ribosomal RNA is filed under the name uncultured bacterium. RNAcentral describes it as "partial 16S ribosomal RNA". It matches the Rfam family "Bacterial small subunit ribosomal RNA", at positions 29 to 507 of the family's 1533-position model. The record is from RNAcentral.
AGUGAACGCUGGCGGUAGGCCUAACACAUGCAAGUCGAACGGCAGCACAGUAAGAGCUUGCUCUUACGGGUGGCGAGUGGCGGACGGGUGAGGAAUACAUCGGAAUCUACUUUUUCGUGGGGGAUAACGUAGGGAAACUUACGCUAAUACCGCAUACGACCUACGGGGGAAAGCAGGGGAUCUUCGGACCUUGCGCGAUUGAAUGAGCCGAUGUCGGAUUAGCUAGUUGGCGGGGUAAAGGCCCACCAAGGCGACGAUCCGUAGCUGGUCUGAGAGGAUGAUCCGCCACACUGGAACUGAGACACGGCCCAGACUCCUACGGGAGGCAGCAGUGGGGAAUAUUGGACAAUGGGGGAAAGCCUGAUCCAGCAAUACCGCGUGGGUGAAGAAGGCCUUCGGGUUGUAAAGCCCUUUUGUUGGGAAAGAAAAGCAGCAGGUUAAUACCCCGCUGUUCUGACGGUACCCAAAGAAUAAGCACCGGCUAACUUCGUG